RNAcentral lists this ribosomal RNA (497 nucleotides) under uncultured bacterium. Its description in RNAcentral is "partial 16S ribosomal RNA". It matches the Rfam family "Bacterial small subunit ribosomal RNA", at positions 28 to 507 of the family's 1533-position model. The record is from RNAcentral.
GAUGAACGCUGGCGGCGUGCCUAAUACAUGCAAGUCGAGCGAACAGACGAGGAGCUUGCUCCUCUGAUGUUAGCGGCGGACGGGUGAGUAACACGUGGAUAACCUACCUAUAAGACUGGGAUAACUUCGGGAAACCGGAGCUAAUACCGGAUAACAUGUUUAACCGCAUGGUUCAACAGUGAAAGACGGUCUUGCUGUCACUUAUAGAUGGAUCCGCGCCGCAUUAGCUAGUUGGUAAGGUAACGGCUUACCAAGGCAACGAUGCGUAGCCGACCUGAGAGGGUGAUCGGCCACACUGGAACUGAGACACGGUCCAGACUCCUACGGGAGGCAGCAGUAGGGAAUCUUCCGCAAUGGGCGAAAGCCUGACGGAGCAACGCCGCGUGAGUGAAGAAGGUCUUCGGAUCGUAAAACUCUGUUAUUAGGGAAGAACAAAUGUGUAAGUAACUAUGCACGUCUUGACGGUACCUAAUCAGAAAGCCACGGCUAACUACGUG